GAGUUUGAUCAUGGCUCAGAUUGAACGCUGGCGGCAGGCCUAACACAUGCAAGUCGAACGGUAACAGGAAACAGCUUGCUGUUUCGCUGACGAGUGGCGGACGGGUGAGUAAUGUCUGGGAAACUGCCUGAUGGAGGGGGAUAACUACUGGAAACGGUAGCUAAUACCGCAUAACGUCGCAAGACCAAAGAGGGGGACCUUCGGGCCUCUUGCCAUCAGAUGUGCCCAGAUGGGAUUAGCUAGUAGGUGGGGUAACGGCUCACCUAGGCGACGAUCCCUAGCUGGUCUGAGAGGAUGACCAGCCACACUGGAACUGAGACACGGUCCAGACUCCUACGGGAGGCAGCAGUGGGGAAUAUUGCACAAUGGGCGCAAGCCUGAUGCAGCCAUGCCGCGUGUAUGAAGAAGGCCUUCGGGUUGUAAAGUACUUUCAGCGGGGAGGAAGGGAGUAAAGUUAAUACCUUUGCUCAUUGACGUUACCCGCAGAAGAAGCACCGGCUAACUCCGUGCCAGCAGCCGCGGUAAUACGGAGGGUGCAAGCGUUAAUCGGAAUUACUGGGCGUAAAGCGCACGCAGGCGGUUUGUUAAGUCAGAUGUGAAAUCCCCGGGCUCAACCUGGGAACUGCAUCUGAUACUGGCAAGCUUGAGUCUCGUAGAGGGGGGUAGAAUUCCUGGUGUAGCGGUGAAAUGCGUAGAGAUCUGGAGGAAUACCGGUGGCGAAGGCGGCCCCCUGGACGAAGACUGACGCUCAGGUGCGAAAGCGUGGGGAGCAAACAGGAUUAGAUACCCUGGUAGUCCACGCCGUAAACGAUGUCGACUUGGAGGUUGUGCCCUUGAGGCGUGGCUUCCGGAGCUAACGCGUUAAGUCGACCGCCUGGGGAGUACGGCCGCAAGGUUAAAACUCAAAUGAAUUGACGGGGGCCCGCACAAGCGGUGGAGCAUGUGGUUUAAUUCGAUGCAACGCGAAGAACCUUACCUGGUCUUGACAUCCACGGAAGUUUUCAGAGAUGAGAAUGUGCCUUCGGGAACCGUGAGACAGGUGCUGCAUGGCUGUCGUCAGCUCGUGUUGUGAAAUGUUGGGUUAAGUCCCGCAACGAGCGCAACCCUUAUCCCUUGUUGCCAGCGGUCCGGCCGGGAACUCAAAGGAGACUGCCAGUGAUAAACUGGAGGAAGGUGGGGAUGACGUCAAGUCAUCAUGGCCCUUACGACCAGGGCUACACACGUGCUACAAUGGCGCAUACAAAGAGAAGCGACCUCGCGAGAGCAAGCGGACCUCAUAAAGUGCGUCGUAGUCCGGAUUGGAGUCUGCAACUCGACUCCAUGAAGUCGGAAUCGCUAGUAAUCGUGGAUCAGAAUGCCACGGUGAAUACGUUCCCGGGCCUUGUACACACCGCCCGUCACACCAUGGGAGUGGGUUGCAAAAGAAGUAGGUAGCUUAACCUUCGGGAGGGCGCUUACCACUUUGUGAUUCAUGACUGGGGUGAAGUCGUAACAAGGUAACCGUAGGGGAACCUGCGGUUG
Molecule: ribosomal RNA, 1521 nt
Filed under: metagenome
Description: bacterial SSU rRNA
Rfam family: Bacterial small subunit ribosomal RNA
Source: RNAcentral